RNAcentral lists this transfer RNA (70 nucleotides) under Perkinsus olseni. It matches the Rfam family "tRNA". From Rfam's summary of the family: Transfer RNA (tRNA) molecules are approximately 80 nucleotides in length. Their secondary structure includes four short double-helical elements and three loops (D, anti-codon, and T loops). Lineage: Eukaryota; Perkinsozoa; Perkinsida; Perkinsidae. The record is from Rfam by way of RNAcentral.
GUUUAGCUCAGUCGGUUAGAGCAUCGUGCUAAUAACGCGAGGGUCGCAGGUUCGAGCCCUGCAUCGACCA